UCCAUUAUUUGAACAGCAGGCAAGUACAUAAUGUGAUAGAAAUGAUGAUAGUUUUGGGGAGAUAUUAAAACAGUAUCUUUGUGCUGCUACAUGAUAGGGCUCUAAUUGCUAAAUUAAAUGACACAAAUUAAAAAUACUUAGUCAUUAUCAUAACUCCAGAAAAAUUAUUCGAGACUUCAGAAACAGAAAUACUUCAGGGAUAAAAACACCAGCAAGAAACGGGGAAAAAAAGUUUGAUCUACAAGGAAACCUGAGUUGUUUAAAUACUCAAAAUAAAAGUCAGCAGCCCCUGGGAAACUGAAAAACCUGAGCAAUUAUAUCUGAAGAAAAAGGGAAGAAAUGGGACUAUUCACCCAAAAGUUUGCUCCCAGGUACAUCAAAACUGAGCAUGUGAAGUCCAUUGCUGAUAUCUUGGAACAGAAGAGGCAGGAAUGAUAACACUAAGGCAGAAGUACAACAUCCUGAUUGCAGAUAUUUUGUAGGGAAGACACCCAUGCUGAUAAAAACAAAUUGCACUAUGAGCGAACUUUUAGCGAACAGAUUUGGAUUUUACAUUACCCUUUGGAUGGACUGAUUCUAUCACUCUCUGGUUUAUCCCAAUAACAUAGCUGGGAAAGGGAAUUGGACAUUAUUGAUGGAAGAGAAUUUAUAUGCAAACGUACUGGAAUUUUCCAAGCCACGGGAGGAAAAAAUAUUAUAAUAGGAUAACCUGUGGAAAAGAGGAACCAUGUGUUCUGAGUGGCAGGCCUGCCUUGGUCUUCCCCAAAGGAACACAGCUGCUUCCCCACCCCGCAGAAGAAAUUGCCCGAUCUCCUCCUGCAGAGACCUCCCCCAGUGCAGAGAUGGCCAUCAAGAACACACUCAGACCCUUACAGGAAGUUUUCUGCUGUGUGUACAUCACUAUAUGAUUUCAGUAUACAAGUCAGAAAACAAGUAUUGACUGCUGUUUGGGAGUUUAUAAUUGCAGCUAGCUCUUGGGGCUAGAUGUCCUUCAUACUUUGUUCAUUUGCAUUAUGUUGCUACAGCAAAUACAAAAGCCAGCUAAGCCUACAAUGUACUCACACUCUAGAGAGGCACAAAGGCUAGUUGAUAAAAAUGAGGACUGUGGAGUGGGAAGAGUGUUCUUGGUUGUUUUGUUGGGGUUUUUCAAUUCCUUUCUAAGAGUUUUAUGGCUUUAUCUUCAGUCCUACACAUUCAAUCUUUAUUUUCUAGAAGAAAUUAAAGAAAAUUUAACAUUGCUAAUGUGUUUUUGACUUCACAAAUGUAUUUGAAACAUGAUAAAACUCCUUGCUUUCAAAUAUGUUUUCUCCAAAGCCAGUAAUAGGUUUUAAUGGCUCAGAAAGAAUAUCAUAAAUACAGCAUCAUCAAAACUAAUCUACCAUGAGAAGAAUAGUAAUGUCAAAUGGCCUCUCCUACAGAAAUGUUUUAAUUUUAAUUAAUUACCUAAUUUGUUGGAGCAUUUGUAAUAUAUAUUUAAUGACACUACAGUCUGGCACAGCCUUCCAGACAGUGUUCUGAGGAAACAUGAUCUAAGCAUAGCCUCAAGCUGAUAUUAUCAAAUAACUCACCAUGCUGUGUAAAAAAAAUCCAGAUAAAACAAGCAGCUAAUGUUUCAGCUUCCAGGGCCUCAGGAAAGCUUGUUUUCACCCUAGCCUUUCUCUCUGGCAGCUCCAUCACCUCUGCCUUUAUAUCUGGAAUGUGCAGUAAAUAAAUAUUCAGCACUGGCCUGGUUGUAGUUAGCACCAAGCAAACAAUAGCCCAUUACUAUAUAUCACACUCCAAUUACUAAAGAUCUUGCCAUGUGUCUAAUAGUCUGAUAUAAACAGCCCAUUAAGCUUUCUAAUGGUGGUGUUAAAUAAAGGGUGAACAAAUAGUACUAGAACAGUUAGAAGCCCCUGGGCAGCUUUGCAUCUUCCCAUGCCACUCCUUUAAUGAGAUUAUGUUAUUGCUUUGGUUGGCAGAAACUCAUUUGAAGGUUUCCAGUUCUCCUGCCCUUUUGUGUUGAACUGACAAGGCAGAUGUAUCUAAAUAUUUACCCUUUGGUCCAUUUUCUUCAACAGAGUAAAGUUCUUGCCCUUUAUUCCCACUUACGUCACUGCCUCUUUUUGCCAGACAGAGCAAUGCCUCUCUCCUGAUCAAGCAGGGAAUCUCUGGUACAGACCCUCCCUGGAGUCUAAUGCAGCCCAUGAAUCUCUCAGCAUCUUGAGAGAAAGCAUCAGUCAUGUAAAUGACCCCUGCAUCAGUGUUCUGGCAAGGCAUUGUAAGAGCUUAUUCAAUUAUGGUACAAUAUUUUUUCCAAUUAGGGGAAUGUCCAUUAUUUUUCUUUAUUUUGAUUAAAAAUAGUAGAGCCUUUCAAAGUAAGAAUAACUACCAAAAAAAGCCACUUAAGACUUGGAAAUGUAAAUUCAAAAGACAAUAUAUCAGAAAUAAUAAGUAAAAUAAUUUAAUAACAAUUUAAUAAUUUAAUAACAAGUAAAAUAAUUGAAGAAGUAUUAGAUUAGAAUAAAAAUGUUUACAGAACUCUAAAACUAAGUUUCCUUUAUAAAGGCUAUAGCAUAGUUGGUGUGUGUUAUACAGAGUAUUGAAACACCAGGAAACAACAUUCAGUAAUGAUCUCCAUCACAGACUGAAACUGCCUUAACUGCUGAGCUCUAGUAUAAACAAAUAAACUGAAAAAAAUUACAAAACUGACUUUAAAAGCCUGGGUCUCACAGAUUGAUUGUUGUUUAGUUUAAGCCAUAAUGAACAGUAAACUAUGGACAUGCUGUUUACUUUUAGAGAUGUUAGUAUGCCAGAAGACAGAAAUUAUGCAGCUCUUUAGUUUAGAUCUAGCUGACAAAACCUGCUAAAUUGUUGUAAAAAUUCAACUUUGAUAUUAUACACUAAUCAAGUCCAGAAUGAUGGUGUA
Long non-coding RNA from Passer montanus (Eurasian tree sparrow), 2908 nucleotides. RefSeq lists it as uncharacterized. The record is from RefSeq and is a predicted model, not a curated record. The transcript has 6 exons. NCBI's taxonomy places the organism in Eukaryota, Metazoa, Chordata, Aves, Passeriformes, Passeridae.